AAUAUUGCAACCCAUGGAAUGUGCAACAAUAUGGAAAGACUUCAACUGAAAUGGAUUAAUGACGGACUUUUCAAUCAUCUCCAAGUGAUCUCUUAGAGUGUAAUAACAAUCCCUUGGCUUAGGGCUUCUUCCAAAUCCCAAAAGGUCAACAGCAAAUAGUCUGUAGUUACGCUUUACAGGCUCAGACAGAUUUGGAAACACUGUUUCCGUCCAAAAUGAAGAAGAGGAGAUGAAUCCAUGCAAGAAUAUCACAUUCUCUGUCACAUCUCCAUGGCAAUUCUCAGAAGCAGCUGCAGAACAAGAAAUUAUAACAACAUUAGCGACUGUUCUAUAUUUGAAGGCAACAACAGCUGUUUGCUACCUGAAAACCAGAAGAACAAGAGGAAGAGAGGGGAAAAAAUUGCAAAUGAAUCAUUGAUCACCCAUCAAAAGUUCAGAAUUUUUUUCCAGAAAUUUCAUAAUUCUUGAUUUCAAUAGUCUGAUUUAGUUAAGAUGAAGGAAGAGAGAUUGCUGGUGCCUAGAUUAACAUAAUUCAGCAUUAGACAGUUGAAUUAUGAAGCCGCCCCAAAAACAAACCAAGAAUAAGCAAAAUAUGUCCUAGCUCUCACCUUUCAUUUCUCAGAAAACAAACAGAAACUAAAACGAUAACUGGAAGCUUUCCAACCGCUGAAUGAAAUCCUUCAUAGUUAUAAACAUAAUGCUCACUUUUUGUUAAGUUUUAAAUCUCAAUUUAUUUUGUGCAUAAAGCUUUAAUUCAACAUUUGAUUUGAGUGAUAUAAACAAACAAAGCCUAUAAAUGAAGUAGCAAAUCAUAGAAAAUGAAAAAAGAAGAGCGAGAACAGUAAAAGAAAAAUAUUAAUGGUUUAGAGGACCACCAGUCGAAGGCUCCUUGACAACUACAUGCAGAUUCUGUCCACCAUCUUUCAUCCAAGAAACACAAGACUCACAUCCACAAUCAGACCAAAUCCUUAUUCCACUGCCACCACCAAAUGAUUUCUUGCGAUUCUCCGAAUUUCUUCCAAAACCCAGAAAUCUAAUUUGCCUAAACACGUUGGUCCUUCCAUAUAAAGUCUCAGAAAGCUCACUGUCUUCAUCAUCCCCCAUACUCCUCUGUAUCUCUCUCCUGUCUCCACAAUAACAAGGGGAGGGCUUCCCCUCAAACAACUUAUCAAGAUACCUAUAAAUAAUGCAAAAGACUAUGUCAAGAAAGUCAAAAAUGAGGAAAACAAUGAAGCUAGUUGCAGAGAUGGCUGUGGAAACGGAUUUUCUCGCCCAUUUUCCUACAAAAGGAGCAAGAAACAUGGAGAAGAAGUAAUAGAAAGCGAGAGAAAAACUGAGGAAGGUGAUAGGGUUUAGGGAAGCAAAGUUAAAGCGGUAAAGAAAGAAACAAGGGGUUGAGACUUGAAGCAAAGAAAGGUAAGUAUGGAGCCACGUCUCAUGCUUUUGUGAUCGGAAAGUUUGGAAUUUUAUGGAAGAUUGAUGGGUGAUUUUCUGUCUGCAUGCAAGCUUCUUUGUUGGGCAGGGUAGUGACUAGUGGACUUGUAUUUAUGCGAAAUGGAUGGGUCGCCUAGCCAUAGUAUCGGUCUAACAGUUUUUCCAUUUACCUACGAUAUAUCGGCGUUAAUAUAACUGCAUUGACCGCCUUCAAACUAUCUCUGGUGAUUGGAUUGAACGUGAGGUUGAUCUUGGUUCCUAUAUUAGAGGUUUUUAUUGUCAUCUUUAUUCUGCAGGCUCUUUACAAGGCUGUGAUCAUGUCUUGAAUCUUAUUUCUUCCCUGGUCUCUCCAGCACUUAAUGCUUCAUCAUUAGCUCCUAAUCACGGGUAAGGAAGUGUGUAGUGCUAUAUCUCAGUUGGGAGGUAAUAAGACAUCUGGUUUGGAUAGUUUCUCUCGUCUUUUCUAUCAGUAUCAUUGGCAUAUCAUUGACCCAUCCCUUUGUCGUGCUGUGCAUCGUUUUUGUGACACGGAGUUUUUACUUUUCAAGUUUAAUAGAAUUAAUAUUGUUCUUCUUUCAAAAUGUCGUCAUUCCAUAGGUGUUCAUCAAUUCUUUCAAAAUGUCGUCAUUCUUUGGUGUUCAUCAAUUUAGAUCUAUUAGAUUGUGCAAUUUUGUUUAUAAGAUUAUUUUAAGGACUAUUGUUAAUAGGUUGAAACCAUGGAUACGUUCUCUUAUCCCGGAGAAUCAGAAUGCUUUUGUUAAAGUCAUUCAGAAUAAUUUUGCGAUGCCCAUGAAGUCUUCCAUUUCCUCAAGUCAUUUCGGCGUCACAUGCAUUCUAUGGUUUUAAGCUUGAUGUACAAUGAGUUGUUCUACAUAGUGGGUGCACAUGAUUAUGCAGCGUAUAUCAAUCAUUAGUUUUUUGGUUAUGAGUAAUGGUGUUCCAUCUGCUUCUUUUCAACUCUCUCAUGGCAUCUGGUGUGGAGAUCUUUUAUCUCUUUUUCUUCGUUUCUCAAGCUCUAUCCUAAUUGUUGUCUUCAGCCCGUGAUCGAUCAAACCAUCUCGGACUGCUCCUGCACUUACUAGUAUUUUAUUUGCUGAUAAUACUUUGUUAUUUGUCCAAACUUCACGGGCAGAAGCUAUGAACCUGCUUGGCUUGCCAUAAUCAUACAUUGUGGCUCAGUUAGUUAAUUAUUAACAGUUGUGAAUUUUAUUUAUCAAGCAAACACCGUUGAAGUUAAGGUGAGAUAUAUGUCCAUAUUUUCUAUGCAAGAGGUGUCUUUUUCUGAUAAAUAUUAGGUUUGUCAAUGUUGUUGGGCCACUCGCGCCAACAAGUUUUGGGCUAUGUAGAAGGUCGUGUAAGGGUCAAGAUACAGUCGUAGAAGCAAUGAUUACUAUCACAUGUUGGUCGAACAAUUAUGAUUCAAUCGGUCUUGGCUAUCAUUCUCAAUUAUUCUAUGUUCUUUUGUUUUUUAUAUCAAAAUUAAUUUUCUGCUGAGCUUAACAGGAUGCUAUCUCAAUUUUGAUGGGUGGUAAAUUAUUUAAUAUUUUUUAAAUUAGUAUUUAUAUAUUACUUAGACCUCUCAGACAGUCUUAUAAUGUAAUUAUCUUUAUAAUUUAAAAAAAAUUAAGAAAAUGAUUUUUAUUUUUAAUAUUUUAGAUUUUAAUAAAUAAAUUUUAUUAUAAACGUUUUUAUAAUAUUUAUGAAUAAUUAUUAUUUAUUAAAUAGAUUGAAUUUCAUUUGCUUUAAUACAAACCACAUUUCUACAUUGAUUUAUUUUUUUUAUAACGAAGGUAUAGAUUUCAUUAACUCAUCAAGGUGAUAGAAAAUGAAAGAAUCAAAUUUAUGUAUAAGAAUGGAUUACAUUUGAAGGAAAUACUCUUAAGAAACUUUUGAAUUAAAUUAUGAGCAGUAGUAUUAGACUGUCUUCAAACAACAUUGUAAGAUACAAAAUUGAGGCUUUGAGCUAAGAAAAGAGAAUCCUGUACAAUGUUGUAUGUGUUUAUGAGAGUUGAAGAGUCCCCUUCAAUGAUCACAUCUGAGAAGCUUCCAUUUAUUGCAAGAAUUAAGAAUUUCCGACAAGCUAAACCUUCUAAAAUUAAAGAAUCCUGUGUUUUAGGCCAUAACAUGCAACUCCAAUUGAGAACCUGCCUAUGUUAACAUUAAUUUAAGGAUAUCAUAGUGAGGACUUUUUAAUAAAUAUAUAAGAAUAAGUUUUCUAUUUAAAUUUCACGAUUAAUUAAUUAGUGUUAUUUCAAAAUGGGCUAUUGAAAAAGAAAAUUAAAUGUUUUACUCAAUAAAAUUAAUCCUUUCACAAUUAUCUCAAUUCUAGUCAUAUGCUUCGAUUAAUUUUGGUAAAAAAAUGUGUAAUUCACGUAUCAUUGUCACCUAUGUUAGGCUAGCAAUUUUUUACUAUUCAACUUAAAUAUGAAAAUUUUUAUUUUUAUUCUCACUCUACUUUAAAUAUAUUUAUUUAUUUAUAUUAUAUAUUAUGUUGUUAUUUUAUUAAUAUUUAAUUUUUCAUGUCGUUUUAUUUUAUAGUAGUAUCUUUUAAUUUUAUACUAGUAUGCCCUUUUUUUCAUUUUCUUAACUUUUAAAUCUUUGAAUUUAUAUAAUUUUGAUGGAAUACUUUGGUGCCUAUAUCUAUUAAAUAAUAAAAUUUUACAUUAUAAAAAUAUAUAAUUAUUAAAAUUAUCAAUUCCUAAUACUUGCUUUAGAAAAUGUGAUACUUAUAUUUAUUAUAGUUAUCUUAUUAUAAUUUUUUAAUCAGUUUGAUAUUUUUUAUUUAUUUAUUUUAUAUUUAUAUGGUCUAAAGAAAAUUUACUGGUUCUGCCCUUCCCUGUUCCUCUUGUUAAAAUCAGGAAAAAAAGACUGGACUAAGAUUAUUCCUGCCAAUUUUUAUUUUACUUAAAACAUACAAAUGAGUAUACAUAGGCUCAUGAAGUUUUUUUUUUUUUUUUUUAAGUUAUCAUCUCUGCGUAAUACAAGGUAUAUCUUGUCAGUUUGCUGAGAAUAUAACAGAGAAAAAGAAGGAAAGAAAGAAACCUUGAGAGAAUCAAGCUAAGCUAGUUUUGCUGCUUCACCCAAGAAAAAGAAUUAUUCAGUAUCAGUAGAUGAGGCCCAUAUAUGCUCUAAAUUCCUAGUAAAAUCCUUCUCUCUACCUAUUAUUACACCAAUAUGAUCAGCAUUUGGGAUGAUACUAAUUUCUGCAUUAGGAACCUUACUCUUUAUGUUUUUGCCACACUCCAAAGGGAUGACCUUGUCCUCAUCACCUUGGAUAACACAAAUUUUCGCUCCAGAUUUCAUCAAAUUCUCCAACAUUUCCUCCAGAAAUUUUGCCCCUCCACAUAUCACAUUAUGCAUUGAAUGCCAUGCUGAAUGAUGGGUGUGCUUGGUCAUGUCCAUGAUCAUGAAAUGCAGAUCCCUGGAGAAAAGAUCAAUAACAUGGUUUUCCUUGUUAAAUAAUGAAGUUCUAAUUCAAUGGUAUUGAUAAUAUCUAGUGUCCAAAUCGUGAUAAGCUAAAAUUUAUUAUCCACAUGAAGGCAUGGAUUAAAGCUGGUGUUACCUUCUCCAGGUGAGUAGCUUCAAAAUCCUCUCCCAUAUCCUGUGGUUUCGGCACACAAGUAAGCAGACGCAUCGGCCUAAGUGUUCAUACCAUGACAUAAAUGAUGAACAAAACAGCAAUGGCGGCCAUAAUCUCUUCCCAGCAAGUUGUUGAAGUGCCGUAAGACUUGCUUCUUCCUUUGAACUUGAGAUGUAAGGCUACAGUUAGAGAGCAAGAAUAAGGUCAGGACAAGCAUAUGCAUAGAAGUUAACUCUAAGCAAAUACCACCUGAGCAUAAGCAAAAGAUCAGGACAUGGCUGUUAAGAGCUGUUGGCUAUAAGAUUGAUGGUGAAAUCUGCAGAAAAGGGUUAAAAUAUUUCAAUCAACCAUAGCAUCUAAGUCUUGUACACUCACCGGUGCUACGAGGGUGAUUGAUUUCACACAGUUUGAGUAUUUUGCAGCAAGAGCUAAUGAAAUAGUGCAGCCCAUGGAGUGUGCAACAAUAUGGAAAGACUUCAAUACAAAUGGAUUAAUAACGGAUUUUUCAAUCAUUUCCAAGUGAUCUCUUAGAGUGUAAUAACAAUCUUUUGGCUUAGGGCUUCUUCCAAAUCCCAAAAGGUCAACAGCAAAUAGUCUGUAGUUACGCUUUACAGGCUCAGACAGAUUUGGAAACACUGUUUCUGUCCAAAAUGAAGAAGAGGAGAGGAAUCCAUGCAAGAAUAUCACAUUCUCUGUCAAAUCUCCAGCAGCUGUAAAACAAUAAAUUAUAACAACAUUAGCGACUUCUUUAUAUUUGAAGGCAACAACAGCUGUUUGCUACCUGAGAACCAGAAGAACAAGUGGAGGAGAGGGGGGGAAAUUGCCAAUGAAUCAUUGAUCACCCAUCAAAAGUUCAUAAAUUUUUUCCAAAAGUUUCAUAAUUCUUUAUCAAUAUUCUGAUUUAGUUAAGAUGAAGGAAGAGAAAUUGCUGGUGCCUGGAUUAAGCAUAAUUCAGUAUUAGCAAGUUGAAUUUUGAAGCUGCCCAAAAACAAACCAAGAAUAAGCAGAAUAUGUCCUAGCUCUUAUAUUUCAUUUCUAAGCAAACAAACAGAAACUAAAACGAUCGAUAACUGGAAGCUUUCCAACCACAGAAUGAAAUCCUCCAUAGUUAUAAAC
RNAcentral lists this long non-coding RNA (6130 nucleotides) under Manihot esculenta (cassava). RNAcentral's name for it is "long non-coding RNA (MESC_LNC005045)". The record is from RNAcentral. Lineage: Eukaryota; Viridiplantae; Streptophyta; Magnoliopsida; Malpighiales; Euphorbiaceae.